This 342-nucleotide unclassified non-coding RNA is filed under the name soil metagenome. Its description in RNAcentral is "partial contains 5.8S ribosomal RNA, internal transcribed spacer 2, and large subunit ribosomal RNA". The stretch from base 1 to 120 matches the Rfam family "5.8S ribosomal RNA", at positions 35 to 154 of the family's 154-position model. The record is from RNAcentral.
GAUGAAGAACGUAGCGAAAUGCGAUAAGUAAUGUGAAUUGCAGAAUCCAGUGAAUCAUCGAAUCUUUGAACGCACAUUGCGCCCGCCAGCAUUCUGGCGGGCAUGCCUGUUCGAGCGUCAUUUCAACCCUCGACCUCCCCUUGGGGAGGUCGGCGUUGGGGACCGGCAGCACACCGCCGGCCCUGAAAUGGAGUGGCGGCCCGUCUGCGGCGACCUCUGCGUAGUAAUACAGCUCGCACCGGAACCCCGACGCGGCCACGCCGUAAAACACCCAACUUCUGAACGUUGACCUCGAAUCAGGUAGGACUACCCGCUGAACUUAAGCAUACAAUAAGCGGAGGA